This is a non-coding RNA of Drosophila melanogaster (fruit fly), 368 nucleotides long. The record is from Ensembl. NCBI's taxonomy places the organism in Eukaryota, Metazoa, Arthropoda, Insecta, Diptera, Drosophilidae.
AAUGCACUGGCACACACAUACAUAUAUAUACGCGGGCCACACAUGGAGCUCACAUUAUUGAACACACGCGAGACAAGGCGAAGCCAACAAUUGCCCACCCACCGACCGCCACACACACACACCCCCCCCCCUUUCUUGGCCCACUUGGUAGCCACAAUUGCGAAACUGGCGAAACGGGCUGAGGCUUUGCAAUUAGGAGGAGCCACGAAGUCCUCGUCGAGCCAUCGUCCUCGUCAUCGGUCGUCGUCUAAACAGAGAAAAGAGAACAGAAUCCAGAAGUUGGGGGGAAUAUGCACUGGCAGAAAAUGCCACAUAAAAGAUGUGAAAAAUGCAAUAAAUGCAAGUAUCACGGAAAGUGACCCAAAUAC